GAACUGAAACAUCUAAGUACCCCGAGGAAAAGAAAUCAACCGAGAUUCCCCCAGUAGCGGCGAGCGAACGGGGAGCAGCCCAGAGCCUGAAUCAGUGUGUGUGUUAGUGGAAGCGUCUGGAAAGGCGUGCGAUACAGGGUGACAGCCCCGUACACAAAAAUGCACAUGCUGUGAGCUCGAUGAGUAGGGCGGGACACGUGGUAUCCUGUCUGAAUAUGGGGGGACCAUCCUCCAAGGCUAAAUACUCCUGACUGACCGAUAGUGAACCAGUACCGUGAGGGAAAGGCGAAAAGAACCCCGGCGAGGGGAGUGAAAAAGAACCUGAAACCGUGUACGUACAAGCAGUGGGAGCACAGAGCAAUCUGUGUGACUGCGUACCUUUUGUAUAAUGGGUCAGCGACUUAUAUUCUGUAGCAAGGUUAACCGAAUAGGGGAGCCGAAGGGAAACCGAGUCUUAACUGGGCGUUAAGUUGCAGGGUAUAGACCCGAAA
This 491-nucleotide ribosomal RNA is filed under the name Escherichia coli. RNAcentral describes it as "partial 23S ribosomal RNA". It matches the Rfam family "Bacterial large subunit ribosomal RNA", at positions 190 to 720 of the family's 2925-position model. Lineage: Bacteria; Pseudomonadati; Pseudomonadota; Gammaproteobacteria; Enterobacterales; Enterobacteriaceae. The record is from RNAcentral.